This 413-nucleotide ribosomal RNA is filed under the name uncultured prokaryote. Its description in RNAcentral is "bacterial SSU rRNA". It matches the Rfam family "Bacterial small subunit ribosomal RNA", at positions 505 to 918 of the family's 1533-position model. The record is from RNAcentral.
GUGUCAGCAGCCGCGGUAAUACGUAUGGGGCGAGCGUUGUUCGGAGUUAUUGGGCGUAAAGGGCGUGUAGGCGGCGCGCGGCGUCCGGUGUGAAAACGCAGGGCUCAACCCUGCGGUUGCGCUGGAAACGGGCGUGCUAGAGUCCCGGGGGGGAAGCUGGAAUUCCUGGUGUAGGAGUGAAAUCUGUAGAGAUCAGGAAGAACACCGGUGGCGAAGGCGAGCUUCUAUUCGAGGACUGACGCUGAGGCGCGAAAGCGUGGGGAGCAAACAGGAUUAGAUACCCUGGUAGUCCACGCUGUAAACGAUGUGCACUAGGCGUGGGACACGUCGGUGUUCUGUGCCGUAGCCAACGCGAUAAGUGCACCGCCUGGGGAGUAUGCUCGCAAGGGUGAAACUUAAAGGAAUUGGCGGGG